ACGAACGCUGGCGGCGUGCUUAACCCAUGCAAGUCGAACGGUAAGGCCCUGCUUUUGUGGGGUGCUCGAGUGGCGAACGGGUGAGUAACACGUGAGUAACCUGCCCUUGACUUUGGGAUAACUUCAGGAAACUGGGGCUAAUACCGGAUAGGAGCUCCUGCUGCAUGGUGGGGGUUGGAAAGUUUCGGCGGUUGGGGAUGGACUCGCGGCUUAUCAGCUUGUUGGUGGGGUAGUGGCUUACCAAGGCUUUGACGGGUAGCCGGCCUGAGAGGGUGACCGGCCACAUUGGGACUGAGAUACGGCCCAGACUCCUACGGGAGGCAGCAGUGGGGAAUAUUGCACAAUGGGCGGAAGCCUGAUGCAGCAACGCCGCGUGCGGGAUGACGGCCUUCGGGUUGUAAACCGCUUUCGCCUGUGACGAAGCGUGAGUGACGGUAAUGGGUAAAGAAGCACCGGCUAACUACGUG
RNAcentral lists this ribosomal RNA (467 nucleotides) under uncultured bacterium. Its description in RNAcentral is "partial 16S ribosomal RNA". It matches the Rfam family "Bacterial small subunit ribosomal RNA", at positions 29 to 507 of the family's 1533-position model. The record is from RNAcentral.